CAGACCAUCUCUUACCCACUCACCCUCUCCUCUUGCACCAACUUCCAGCAAUUUGACUGCAUGUUUUUUUUAGGAACUAACUUCCACCCAAAGACUACUGAAUUUUUCUUACAUGCUGGGUUCUGUCAGAGCUGAUAAGGCAGCAGCCAGCCUGCAAAGAUAACACAAGGGCUCCCCUCACUGCCUCCUCUCUCAUGCUGUCUUCUGCCUGUGAGGAGCAUCAGGACAGUCCGGAGGAACCCACGGGCUUGGCUCCCUCCCCGUGCUCCUGCUCAGAGUCCUAGCAGAGGGACUGUAGCUGGAUCCAGGAGGAGGAGUUGUGGGUGGUGGAUCAGGAGCUGGAAGCAAAACCUUCCUCUCUGGGCUACUGCUGGCCAAGCGGAGACAUUCCUUGUCUGUUAUUCAUGGGCAGAAAUGCUUGAUUAGGGCUCCUCUUCCUGGAAACAUCAGUGAAGCUGAUGCCCUGGAUCCUCUUCCACAGAUAAGAUUAAGAGCAUGGAAAUAGGCACGCUUCUGGCAGUGGUUUUUACUGGCUCUGGGUGGUAAUUGCAGAGAGGGUAUUUUGGACGAUGAGAAAUUUGCUGUAUCAUUUGUCAAGCACCGUUCGCUGGUGGGUUCUGGGGGCAGAGAACUCACCUAAUUGACAUGGAUUUUUCUUUUUUCCACGUUGUUUCUUUGGCUGGCAGUGGCUGUGAGGGUUGCUGCUGAGAAGGGAAUGAGUCACUCAUUUGUUUGAAGCGGUGGAGAAAGGUUCUCCGUGUUCCCAUUGAUAUUAAACACGAAGCUGUG
Molecule: long non-coding RNA, 789 nt
Organism: Cyanistes caeruleus (blue tit)
Lineage: Eukaryota; Metazoa; Chordata; Aves; Passeriformes; Paridae
Source: RefSeq, a predicted model, not a curated record